Molecule: ribosomal RNA, 250 nt
Filed under: uncultured prokaryote
Description: partial 16S ribosomal RNA
Rfam family: Bacterial small subunit ribosomal RNA
Source: RNAcentral
UACGUAGGAUGCAAGCGUUGUCUGGAUUUACUGGGUGUAAAGGGAGCGCAGGCGGGACUGCAAGUUGGAUGUGAAAUGUCGAGGCUUAACUUCGGAACUGCAUCCAAAACUGCCGUUCUUGAGUGGAGUAGAGGCAAGCGGAAUUCCGAGUGUAGCGGUGAAAUGCGUAGAUAUUCGGAGGAACACCAGUGGCGAAGGCGGCUUGCUGGGCUCUAACUGACGCUGAGACUCGGAAGCGUGGGGAGCAAAC